UAAGUCAUGCAUCAGCUGACACUGAAAAAGCUGUCAGCCAACAGAAUACAUUUUGGUAAGCUCGCAGCAUCUUUUCCUGGAAGAUCUGCAUGGGCUUUUCCCUGCUACUGUAUCAACUGUGGAUCUACUAGUCAGAAAAGCGUUGAGGACUGAAAGCAGCAAGUCUCUGGCUUCCAUCAAACCAAAGGCAAUUUCAUCCCCUCCACUCAAAUGAAAAGUAGUGCAGACAAGAACAGUAAUAUUGCCUUUUGAAAACUGGAGCGCAACUAAGCGAAGACAAAGUGAUACACUGAAAUACUGAUGGAUCUGGCUUGCCCUCCACUGGAAGAAGAAAUUACAUGUUUAUGUCAGAAUUUCUAGUAUUCAGUAGAACCUCCUCAAAGAACAAAGCCCUUUUAAACUUCAGAAAGAAUUAACAGAAAAGACUCCACAUAAUCUUUACCUUGAACUAUUAAUACAUUCAAGCCCUACCAACUGCAUUGUCUUCAUUAGAAUUUGACUCUGGGUGUUACCCUGCCAGCUUACUCAGGACAAGAAUACCUCCUUUUCACCACGAAAAUACAGAGCUUCAGUUUCAUUUAUUGCUGCAACAAGAGGACCUGGUUUCCAAGUUGUAGGGUACUUCACAGCUCUUUGUGCUGGCCUAUGGAACAGCACUGAAGACUGAACUUCAAAGGCAUUAUAACGCUAUACAAGCAAUACUAGCUAAGAUUUUCAAAACGCUGAUCAUUUGAGGUGCUUUGAAGUUUUAAAGUUUUUGAUUUGUACUGCCUAAAUGACUUCCUUUUCCAGAAGUGGAAAUAGCAAAGCAUUUCUCCUCUGGAAAAAAAGUUCAUUCUGGAAAAUUGCUAGAUGUUUGAGUUUUGUUUGUUUGUUUUAAGUUCCAAAUGUUUCACCUCUUGGGUCCGACACAGGGGCAAAAGAGAAAGUAACUUCAGAGAAAAAUGUUCAAAAUGAUCAGGUGGUUGAAAGAGUUGCUUAAGAAUUAGGAUACCAACGAUCUGUGGUUUAGUUGUUUACUAAAGAAAUAUCAAGGCAUUUGUAUGGAGUAUCUGAAGGUUGCUGCUUACAUAGACAGAAGUAAUAAUGUGAAAGCAAGAUGAAGCAUUAUCAGCUGGCUGUAACAGACUGCCUGACAGUAAGACACAGUGAAUGAGAUGAAAAGGCCUUCUUUGUGAUUCAGUAAAAACUAGUCUUUUAAAAGUAGCUCAAAAGAAUGUUGAAAAUCAAAAUACAGAGGAAGACUUCCCUACAUUUUUGCAGGAUGACAGAGAUGGAAAAGUUUAUUCUUGGCUACACCACAGAGAAGUAAAUUCUACAGUAGUUCUUCAGAUUGAAUGUGUACCAUAGCUGUUAAGCAGCAGCAAAUUCUAUGCUAGUUUAUAAAAUACUCAGAUUAAAUGCAUAGCUGAAUCUCUAAACAUGGCUAUUAAACAAAGAAUUGUAGGUUAAUUUCACAUAUUAAAAGUCACUGAACAAGUUGUUAUUAGCACUAGGAGAACGUAUUCAAGCAGAAUAAUGCAAUCACAAAUUCCACAUAAGUUAAUUUCUGGUCACCUCACUCCAAUACUUCUAAAAACAAAAUAAAUUAAAUAUGUUCCACAAUUAAUAAAAUAGCAGUGCUUAUUCACCAAGCAGCAUGUGUAUCUGUGUUGUCCACAUAAACAAGGGCAAAUGGCAAACAGGAAAGCAACUCAGGAGAGAUAUAAUUGGCAUCCCACUGAGAUCCUGGCUUCUCUGAUUCAGAACCUCUAAAAAAUUUUUUCUUCCAUAUAAAUAUUUCAAGGGAGACAGGAUCAAAGCCCCUUCCAUUUCACAGGUAUCUCAGAGCUUUCAGUCUAAUUAAAUAUAAAAAUAGUUAGAAAUGAUACUCUGAAAUGACAGUAGAAUAACUCUUCCUUAGCAAAGGGCUAAGGGUAGAAACUAUCUAAUCCAAUUAGAAGCACCAGGUGAUACCUGGACAUGUGAUUGGCAAGCUCUACAGAUUCAAAUCCAACAUCACAAACAUCCAGCAGAGACAAAUUAAGGCACAAGACAGGGAAAUGUGGAUUUUAAGAGUCUCAGAUAUUGAAAUAAGAACUCAGAAGGAAAACAUUCAAAAUCUCCAUGUUUUGUUCUCUCUCACACUGACCCCAGAGCCUGAUCUAGAAACUUGGUGAAAACAAAUUCUUGAAAGAUUCCAGUUCUUCUUGCACAGGAAACAAAACAGGAAAGGAUGUGGAAUAUUGCCUUGACACAGAGUCCCACGUGCCCAUGGCCUGAACUAUGCUUUUAUCUGUGUUUUGUGCUCUUUGGAUCAUGAGGAACUCGCAUAUUCUGCAUGUAGGUCAUUCUCAGACACAGCCUGCCUCCUUCUGCAUUAUUCUGUCUGCCUGCUUAGCCAGUAACUUCACUCCCAAAGCAGAGCUCUAGCAUAAAAUAGCUUUCAGAAAGUUAACUGGGAAUCAAUAACACAACUGGAUGGAUACACAGGCUUCCCGCCUUUGCAUGUAUGCAUUUUAUUCAUGCAAUUUACCAAACAGUUAAAGCAGCAAGUUCCCUGCAGAAAUGUUGGAACAAUUUGUUCCAACUAAGAAUUUCAACUAAGAAUUAUCAGAAUAAUACCAAAGAUUGUUUUUUUAUUUGAAAAACUGACUUUACCUUCAUCCACAGCAAAGCAGAUGGUCAAACUGAUACAAAGACCAAACUCUGUCAUUCUUCGAAAAGGUGGUCAGGAUAGCAUGUGCCUGAGCUUUCCAUGCAUUUCUUGCCUUGCUAGCAACAGUUGUAGAACAAUAUAUUCUUUUAUAACUCUUAUGCUUUUAUAGAAUGCUGUAAAGUGUUCCUUGCUUUGCGACAGUCAGAGACAAGUGGAACAACUCUACAGACAUUUUUAUACUAAAUGUCCAUGCCACGACUGUCUGAAAAAUUGCAGCACAGUGUGCCUGUCGAAUUACAAGAACUUACCUACCUUUUAUAUUUGCCCUUUAUUUUCAAAUAACACAACAAAAACUUGCACUUGCAUUACAUCUGUAGAAUAGACUGAUCUGGGUUUUCUUUACACUGGAAUAAUUGCAUUCAUUGCUUAUAAGGAAAGCGUGCUUUGAUUUCUUCAGCUCACAAUGACAUUCACAUGGAACUGAUAACAAUUCAUUAAAAUUCUAAACUAAAUUAAUAUUUAGUCCAUUUGUUACCAGAAGGGUUAAUGAAGGUUUUAAACUCCCAGUGGAAGGGUAAACUUAACUACAGGCUUUCAUGUCUCAUGUCCUAUCACAAUUAGCAUUAUUUGCAUCAUUUACUUAUAUGCAUUGGUUGUAUCUAAUUAAAAAUAAUAAUUACACAUUGAUUUUGAAAAUUUAAGUCAGUGAGCACAGAGGUAGCAUACAGCAGCAGAGAUUUUAUGGGUGUUGGAGGAGGCAAUAAAAGUUAUAAAGUAGUAUGACAAAAUAUAACAUCUAGAGAAACAGGAUGAGCUCCCUGCUAAGCAUCUCUAAGUGGAACAAUAUUUGAAAUUAAUUCUGCUGUAAAUAAGCACCAUUACAUUCCUAAUUGUCAGGUACACUGCUGCAGCACUGUCCCUUUGCAUACAAGGGAUUUAUUUUAUGGUAUCUCCAUGCAGGAAUUGAAAUGCUAUAUAACUUCAUAAUAGCUCACACUUCUAAAAUCAAUUUUUCAGAGAGACCCAAAUCCCUUUAUUUAUGUAUAUGUUUGGAUCUUCUCUUAACGGUGAGGUAUGGCCGGCAGUAGGGCAAAAUGCUUUCAACCAACAGUCAGUGUUCUCAAGCAAUAGCACUCUAAGAUUGGUGAUGCAUAACAUCUCUAAAUAAAUAGUAAUUGACUUGGAGGAAGACAACUGUAAAAAUACAUACACCAAGGUUAGCCUUCAUGUUCAGAACUCACUUUUGUUAUGGAACUGA
Molecule: long non-coding RNA, 3896 nt
Organism: Dromaius novaehollandiae (emu)
Lineage: Eukaryota; Metazoa; Chordata; Aves; Casuariiformes; Dromaiidae
Exons: 3
Source: RefSeq, a predicted model, not a curated record